Molecule: non-coding RNA, 363 nt
Organism: Candidatus Nomurabacteria bacterium CG1_02_43_90
Lineage: Bacteria; Candidatus Nomuraibacteriota
Source: Rfam
GGGGGAGGAAGGAGAGGAUGACGCCAGGUCAGCAUGUCCCUUUGAUACCCUGGGCUGCACACUUGAUACAAUGGUCACUACAACGGGUCGCGACGGGGUAACCCUGAGCCAAUCCUAAUAAAGGUGGCCCCAGUUCGGAUUGAGGGCUGAAACUCGACCUCAUGAAGUUGGAAUCGCUAGUAAUCGCGGGUCAGCUAUACCGCGGUGAAUACGUUCUCAAGUCUUGUACUCACCGCCCGUCACGUCAGGGGAGCCGAGAGUACCCGAAGUCCCACCUUGCGUGGGCCUAAGGUAAGCUUGGUAACAAGGACGAAGUCGUAACAAGGCACGGCUAGCGGAAGCUGGUCGUGAAUCAAUUCAAAA